CCCCUCUUGAGAUUGCACCUGGAGAGUUUCCAGUACUCUACCAGUCUCAGCUAAAAGAGGGAGAGUCAAGCAGAGGAAUAACCAUUCCAUUCCUAGCUUGGACAGUGGAUUGCGAGUGAAAGGCAUUCUGCUACAAGU
Small nucleolar RNA from Ornithorhynchus anatinus (platypus), 138 nucleotides. The record is from RefSeq and is a predicted model, not a curated record. Lineage: Eukaryota; Metazoa; Chordata; Mammalia; Monotremata; Ornithorhynchidae.